CAGCCGCCGCGGUAACACCAGCCCCUCGAGUGGUGGGGAUGAUUAUUGGGCCUAAAGCGUCCGUAGCCUGCCGUGUAAGUUUCCCGUUAAAUCCAGCGUCUUAAGCGUUGGACUGCGGGAAAUACUGCACGGCUAGAGAGUGGGAGAGGUCAGCGGUAUUCUGGGGGUGGGGGCGAAAUCCUUUGAUCCCCGGAGGACCACCAGUGGCGAAGGCUGCUGACUAGAACACGUCUGACGGUCAGGGACGAAAGCUGGGGUAGCGAACCGGAUUAGAUACCCGGGUAGUCCCAGCCGUAAACGAUGCAUGCUAGGUGUUGGGUUGGCCACGAGCCACCCCAGUGCCGCAGGGAAGCCGUUAAGCAUGCCGCCUGGGAAGUACGGUCGCAAGGUUGAAACUUAAAGGAAUUGGCGGGGGAGCAC
RNAcentral lists this ribosomal RNA (420 nucleotides) under uncultured Nitrososphaerota archaeon. RNAcentral's name for it is "bacterial SSU rRNA". It matches the Rfam family "Archaeal small subunit ribosomal RNA", at positions 459 to 879 of the family's 1478-position model. The record is from RNAcentral. Lineage: Archaea; Thermoproteati; Nitrososphaerota.